AUUGAACGCUGGCGGCAUGCUUUACACAUGCAAGUCGAACGGCAGCGCGGGCUUCGGCCUGGCGGCGAGUGGCGAACGGGUGAGUAAUGCAUCGGAACGUGCCCAGUAGUGGGGGAUAGCCCGGCGAAAGCCGGAUUAAUACCGCAUACGACCUGAGGGUGAAAGCGGGGGACCGAAAGGCCUCGCGCUAUUGGAGCGGCCGAUGUCGGAUUAGCUAGUUGGUGGGGUAAAGGCUUACCAAGGCGACGAUCCGUAGCUGGGCUGAGAGGAAGACCAGCCACACUGGGACUGGAACACGGCCCAAACUCCUACGGGGGGCAGCAGUGGGGAAUUUUGGACAAUGGGGGCAACCCUGAUCCAGCCAUGCCGCGUGCGGGAAGAAGGCCUUCGGGUUGUAAACCGCUUUUGUUCGGGAAGAAAGCCUCUGGGCUAAUACCCCGGGGGGAUGACGGUACCGGAAGAAUAAGCACCGGCUAACUACGUG
Molecule: ribosomal RNA, 484 nt
Filed under: uncultured bacterium
Lineage: Bacteria
Description: partial 16S ribosomal RNA
Rfam family: Bacterial small subunit ribosomal RNA
Source: RNAcentral